GCGGGGAUGGCCCAGCCUGGUAAGGCGCAGGAUUGCUAAUCCUGUGGGCUUUGCCCUCGUGGGUUCAAAUCCCACUCCCCGCGCUA
RNAcentral lists this transfer RNA (86 nucleotides) under Deltaproteobacteria bacterium. RNAcentral describes it as "tRNA-Ser". It matches the Rfam family "tRNA". Rfam says of the family: Transfer RNA (tRNA) molecules are approximately 80 nucleotides in length. Their secondary structure includes four short double-helical elements and three loops (D, anti-codon, and T loops). Lineage: Bacteria; Pseudomonadati; Myxococcota; Myxococcia. The record is from RNAcentral.